Molecule: non-coding RNA, 66 nt
Filed under: Photobacterium jeanii
Lineage: Bacteria; Pseudomonadati; Pseudomonadota; Gammaproteobacteria; Vibrionales; Vibrionaceae
Description: Fluoride sequence
Rfam family: Fluoride riboswitch aptamer (crcB RNA motif)
Source: Rfam by way of RNAcentral
CCGAUCACGGGUGAUGGAGUUCCACCUUUAACCGCUCAUCAUUGAGAUAAUGACUCCUGCUGUAGU